AUUGAACGCUGGCGGCAGGCCUAACACAUGCAAGUCGAGCGGCAGCGGAAAGUAGCUUGCUACUUUGCCGGCGAGCGGCGGACGGGUGAGUAAUGUCUGGGAAACUGCCUGAUGGAGGGGGAUAACUACUGGAAACGGUAGCUAAUACCGCAUAACGUCGCAAGGCCAAAGAGGGGGACCUUCGGGCCUCUUGCCAUCAGAUGUGCCCAGAUGGGAUGAGCUAGUAGGUGGGGUAAUGGCUCACCUAGGCGACGAUCCCUAGCUGGGCUGAGAGGAUGACCAGCCACACUGGAACUGAGACACGGUCCAGACUCCUACGGGAGGCAGCAGUGGGGAAUAUUGCACAAUGGGCGCAAGCCUGAUGCAGCCAUGCCGCGUGUAUGAAGAAGGCCUUCGGGUUGUAAAGUACUUUCAGCGGGGAGGAAGGUGUUGAGGUUAAUAACCUCAGCAAUUGACGUUACCCGCAGAAGAAGCACCGGCUAACUCCGUGCCAGCCGCCGCCGUAA
This 506-nucleotide ribosomal RNA is filed under the name uncultured bacterium. RNAcentral's name for it is "partial 16S ribosomal RNA". It matches the Rfam family "Bacterial small subunit ribosomal RNA", at positions 30 to 523 of the family's 1533-position model. The record is from RNAcentral.